This 549-nucleotide ribosomal RNA is filed under the name uncultured Glomeromycotina. RNAcentral's name for it is "SSU rRNA". It matches the Rfam family "Eukaryotic small subunit ribosomal RNA", at positions 548 to 1098 of the family's 1831-position model. The record is from RNAcentral. Lineage: Eukaryota; Fungi; Glomeromycota.
UUGGAGGGCAAGUCUGGUGCCAGCAGCCGCGGUAAUUCCAGCUCCAAUAGCGUAUAUUAAAGUUGUUGCAGUUAAAAAGCUCGUAGUUGAAUUUCGGGGUUAGUAGGUUGGUCAUGCCUCUGGUAUGUACUGGUCUCACUGAUUCCUCCUUCCUGAUGAACCUUAAUGCCAUUAAUUUGGUGUUUUAGGGAAUUUGGACUGUUACUUUGAAAAAAUUAGAGUGUUUAAAGCAAGCUAACGCUUGAAUACAUUAGCAUGGAAUAAUGAAAUAGGACGUUCGAUCCUAUUUUGUUGGUUUCUAGGAUUGACGUAAUGAUUAAUAGGGAUAGUUGGGGGCAUUAGUAUUCAAUUGUCAGAGGUGAAAUUCUUGGAUUUAUUGAAGACUAACUACUGCGAAAGCAUUUGCCAAGGAUGUUUUCAUUAAUCAAGAACGAAAGUUAGGGGAUCGAAGACGAUCAGAUACCGUCGUAGUCUUAACCAUAAACUAUGCCGACUAGGGAUCGGAUGAUGUUAAUUUUUUAAUGACUCAUUCGGCGCCUUACGGGAAAC